AAUCAAUGAUGUUAAGCCAUGCUAAUACUUAUACAAAUGGGAGUAUUUUUAAUAUUCACAUUUGCAAAUGAGUUGAAAAUUUGUAUUUCUGAGAUUU
Molecule: small nucleolar RNA, 97 nt
Organism: Gordionus sp. m RMFG-2023
Lineage: Eukaryota; Metazoa; Nematomorpha; Gordioida; Chordodea; Parachordodidae
Source: RefSeq, a predicted model, not a curated record